GUUAAGCAAUACAAAUAAAAGAGCAGUGUUGCUCAUGAAAGUAGGAGUGUAGUGUGGCUAUGAAUUUAAAAAAUAGCAGACUUGGCUACUUUGAUAGGCUGAUUUUUUUGGGAGGGGGUCUGGAACUUGGCCUUUUUUCACUGUUAGGUUUUUGUUGGGGUUUAAGUUAUUUGGUAUAAAAGUAACCGUGUUGAACACAAAACAGUAGACUUCUUUUGCAGCUACAGUGAUUUUUUUAAUACUGACAAACGCAGUUUAAACACAUCAUUCUGUUAUGUUAGCCCAAAAUAUAUUCAACAUGUUUUUACGAUAUGUUUUAGUACUAUCUGUAUUAUUCAGCAGUAUAAAUUGCGGAGGAGAUGAGGCUUUUCUGACACGUGUUGGUUAUCGAGACGCCUUCCAGCAAAUCAGCACUCCAAGUCAAUUUGGUCCGGUACCAAACCUCAGCAAUCAACUCGGCACUGAUGAUUCGUACCCACAAGACGACAAAUUAAUAGA
This is a long non-coding RNA of Adelges cooleyi (spruce gall adelgid), 498 nucleotides long. RefSeq lists it as uncharacterized. NCBI's taxonomy places the organism in Eukaryota, Metazoa, Arthropoda, Insecta, Hemiptera, Adelgidae. The record is from RefSeq and is a predicted model, not a curated record. The transcript has 3 exons.